GGUUUUGGGGCUUUUCAUCUAUGGGAUUUGGCGGAGAAUCAGAUUGACUCGCCAUCUACUGUUCACGCACGGGAAAAAAAAACACAAAUUUAGUACAAAAAAGUACGAAAUAAUUUGAUCCCCAGAUAAAAAAAACAGAAGAAAAGGACAAUAAUUACCGAGGUAGAACAAACAAGACGAUUUAUGCUCAGAAUUCUUGGAAGCGGGAGUGGGCUAUGGUUAUUGUCUUAUUGAAUUUGGUUUUUGCUCAUCCCCAGGCGACAACUGAAACUGGU
RNAcentral lists this long non-coding RNA (275 nucleotides) under Olea europaea subsp. europaea. Lineage: Eukaryota; Viridiplantae; Streptophyta; Magnoliopsida; Lamiales; Oleaceae. The record is from RNAcentral.